UCGAACUGGACUUUUAUUACAUUUUCAUAUUAAGCUCAAUCCUUUAGCCCAUUCCUUUGAACAUCUGUUACAAGCCCACACGAUUAGGUUUCUUCUUCAUUUUUCCUUUCACGCCUGCGACCUUCCUUCUUCCUCUCAAGACGACCCCCCUACGAAAUUUCACAGAGACUUAAAGCUGCGUUCGAUCUUCGUAACGUCUCAACCAUCCAUUAAUCUGUUCUUUACUCCGAGUUUUUCCUUGAUUAUUCCACUCCUCCCGCGUUUCAUUUAUUCCUCAUCACCACCUCUGUCAGCUUCCUCACACUCAUUAUCUCAAAGAAGCGUUGUGACUCUCCUCUCCACAAACGGCCAAAAAACUAUCCAAACCAUGACGGCUUCCCAACUAUCGCUCUCUGCAUUGAAUCGUUGUAAUGGCGACAAUUGUCACACGGCUGCUCCCUUUUUGGGAAGCUCGGAAUGUGAAGAAAGGCGUUGAAGAAGCUGGGAUGAUGAGUACUGAAUCCUUACUAAACAACUUCUUAAGUGUUUUUCGUUACUUCCCGUUAAAAACUCAAUUUUUAGGUCUUUUAGUUUGCUGUUAGAAAUAUUGAACCUUGCGUCUAGGGAUUGAUUCAUAUAGGCUGAGCUUUAUGUGUAGAAGACUAAAGGAAAGAUCUUUCAAAAUCAAAGCUUUGAUUCUUCGGCUGACAAUGCGUUAUCUCAAAUAUUUUCUCUACAAAUAAUGUCUAACAAGAGUUUUGACCAAAAAAAAAAAUAUAUAUAUAUAUAAUGUCUAACAAGAGAAAGUGGUGAAAACAAAUCGUGAUACCACUAUGAACAGUUCAAAAGUGAUCGAUCAGGUUCACUGAUUCGGUAGAGACAACAAGUGAUCAUUUUGGAGAAAGCAAGGCAAGAUUUAGAAACACUGAGGGAACACAUCUUUUCACGGCUGAUGAAAGAGCUCCAAGUUACUGAUUUGUGGAAGCUGCUGCAAACUUAUUCCCCAGGGUCAUAUGCAUGAGUAUGUUGACAGCAACGGUUUUUAAGUUCUGUGUAUCAAAGACACUCUCUACUCCCGAUGAGAUUAACGCUAUGCUUUUACAGCUUAGUGACUCCUUUAAAGCCGCCGCAGAUCAAUAUGCUCAAUGCGUAAGCCGUUUCGUCAGAUGUACAACUUAAUGUUGUUCUAUAUCAGUGAAAACACUUAAGCUAACAGCUACAACAUUCACGAAGCAACUUCAUGCAAUGGUCAAGAAAAAGUCACCUCCACCGGCUAGAAACCAAGCUCCAGCUCCGACAGAGUGAUAACAAGCGUUCAAAGCAUCUUCCUUACGAACUCCACUGCUUGGUCGCAAAUAGUCAAUGAACAACCAGUGGCUGGAAAAACAUCGAAAGGUGGUCAUGGUUAAUGAGGAGUUUUUAAGGCCACAACCCUGCACAGCUACGAGAGCCACUAAAGAGCCUUUGGGAAAGACUGCUCGAGCAGCUCACCAAGAGAUCCAAGCACAUAAAAGAAAUGGUGGUUUCCAACAAGUUUAUUGUGGAUUAUGUCACUGUUUUCAGAUAUCAUUAAACUCAGUGUAGCAUCUAUUACGUAAUGUUUCUUUUAGAUUUGUAAAACUGGAAACACACCCUGACAUUCAAAAUAUUGGUGACUAAAUGCAGGUUCAAAAAAAAGGUUGAACAGGGUCCCCCUAGGCUUCCUAUAGGGCACCACCAAAGUACAGUUCAACUACUCUAAACAUCAGACAUAUUUGCACUGCUGGUCACAAAAUAACAGAGUAUUUUUAAGUAUCCACAUUUAAACAUCAAAAUUCAUAUUCCAGACGCUUGCCACAGCCUCCGUAGAUUGCUGGGGAAUAGAAACUGGAAUCUCUGUUGCAGCAACCAACACAUAUGAUGGUGUAGAAAACAGAGGUCGGGAUCAUUCUCCUUAUAGUUAAUACCAUUAUAUUCCUGGGUUCUAAAAGUUUAUGUCCAUAUCUGUGCGAUGUAGCUAAUGCGAACAAAUCUAGAGCUCUACAGAUAAACCAAGAAUCUUUGUACAUAGUGAAAGCCACAUGUCUUCAUAUUCUGCCUAUGUCAGCAUUGAGAGUUGAAGUAUUCUCUGAAACCACAAUGCUUUGUUCAAGAAUUAUUAUACAACUUUUAUGUCAA
Molecule: long non-coding RNA, 2136 nt
Organism: Brassica napus (rape)
Lineage: Eukaryota; Viridiplantae; Streptophyta; Magnoliopsida; Brassicales; Brassicaceae
Exons: 5
Source: RefSeq, a predicted model, not a curated record